AUUGAACGCUGGCGGCAGACCUAACACAUGCAAGUCGAACGGCAGCGGGGGAUAGCUUGCUAUCCUGCCGGCGAGUGGCGGACGGGUGAGUAAUGCCUGGGGAGCUGCCCAAUCGAGGGGGAUACCAGUUGGAAACGACUGCUAAUACCGCAUACGCCUCGAGGGGGAAAGAUGGGGAUCUUCGGACCUAUCGCGAUUGGAUGCACCCAGGUGGGAUUAGCUAGUUGGUGAGGUAACGGCUCACCAAGGCGACGAUCUCUAGCUGGUCUGAGAGGAUGACCAGCCACACUGGAACUGAGACACGGUCCAGACUCCUACGGGAGGCAGCAGUGGGGAAUAUUGCACAAUGGGGGAAACCCUGAUGCAGCCAUGCCGCGUGUGUGGAGAAGGCCUUCGGGUUGUAAAGCACUUUCAGUCAGGAGGAAAGGUGGCUAGCUAAAACCUAGUUGCUGUGACGUUACUGACAGAUGAAGCACUGGCUAACUCCGUGCCAGCAGCCGCCGUAA
This 506-nucleotide ribosomal RNA is filed under the name uncultured bacterium. RNAcentral describes it as "partial 16S ribosomal RNA". It matches the Rfam family "Bacterial small subunit ribosomal RNA", at positions 30 to 523 of the family's 1533-position model. The record is from RNAcentral.